Molecule: long non-coding RNA, 870 nt
Filed under: Lepisosteus oculatus (spotted gar)
Lineage: Eukaryota; Metazoa; Chordata; Actinopteri; Semionotiformes; Lepisosteidae
Description: lncRNA (ENSLOCG00000022593.1)
Source: RNAcentral
GGUCUUAUUUCUACUGAGAAACAGUUCAAGCACUCACAAAACAAUAACCAAGAGAUGAUAUAUGAAAAAGUAUUGUAAGACUUGCAGAGCAGAUUUGAAUAGACAGUGGACGUCACACUGUGUGCUUGAGAGACUGGGAGACUUGCCAGAUUUUCAGCUUUAUUACUGGGUCUUUCAGCUCAGGGUGAAAGCGAAGUGCUCCUCUCUGCUGGAGAGCCACAGGGGCAAUACAGAGCAGCCUCGUCUUCCCUGCUCCUGCCCGUGUGGACGGCCAGUGUGACCAUGCACAUGACAAAGUAGUGCAUUCGUGGCGUAAAUACAAAACAUUCAACCGAGGAAAGUUACAGAGACAGGAGUAUUUAUUCUGAAAUCAUGUGAACCACUAUUACUGCGCACAGACAGACUACUCAAAAAUAAUGUGGCCUUUUAAGGUCAUUUUGUCUGCCUAAAGUAUUUUAGAUUUGUCACAGCAAAGAGUUUGAAUACUUACAGUAGGCAGCAGCUAGAAUUGUUACUUGGAGCAGAAAGCAUGACCACAUAACCCCCACACUUCUCUCUCUUCAUUGGUACAGGGUACAGGUACAGGGCGGACUUCAAAAUCCUUCUACUUAGUGCAUGGAGUACUGACACACAGAAGACAUGAUGGAUGGAUGGAUUAAUACCCUCAUUCAUUUAUUUCCUUUUUUAAAAAUUAUAUAAUAUUAGCAUGCCCAAAGGGUUUGGGCAGCCAGCUGACCUUGAACCCCUAGAGGUUUUUUUUCUCCUUACUGAGGAGUUUUUGGUUCCUCUCCUCCGUUGUCUUCUGGUCUUUUCUGUUCUGUAUUCACAACCUGUAUGGUCACUUGCUUUCUUAAGCGCCUUGGGGCAACC